GACAUCGCCCAAAUGGUGGUGCGGGUAUGCUUCGCACCAAGCGCUCCAGGAUGGGACCGCGGCCGAUCAGGCUGUUGGCGGGGUAAUGGCCCACCAAUCCUGUAACCGGUACGGGCUUUGAGAGAAGGAGCCCGGAGAUGGACACUGAGACAAGGGUCCAGGCCCUACGGGGCGCAUCAGGCGCGAAAACUUCACAAUGCGCGAAAGCGUGAUGAGGCUAAUCCGAGUGCCGUCCGCUGAGGAUGGCUUUUCUCGGCUGUAAAUAGGCCGGGGAAUAAGGGGAGGGCAAGUCUGGUGUCAGCCGCCACGGUAAUACCAGCUCCUCGAGUGGUCGGGACGAUUAUUGGGCCUAAAGCACCCGUAGCCGGUUCCGUAAGUCCUCUGUUAAAUCCAACCGCCCAACGGUUGGGCCGCAGAGGAUACUGCGAGACUAGGAGGCGGGAGAGGCGGACGGUACUCUGCGGGUAGGGGUAAAAUCCUUUGAUCCGCGGAAGACCACCAGUGGCGAAGGCGGUCCGCCAGAACGCGCUCGACGGUGAGGGGUGAAAGCUGGGGGAGCGAACCGGAUUAGAUACCCGGGUAGUCCCAGCCGUAAACGAUGCGAGCUAGAUGAUUCAAUCGCAGUUCGCGAUUGAAGUGUCGCAGGGAAGCCGUUAAGCUCGCCGCCUGGGGAGUGCGGUCGCAAGGCUGAAACUUAAAGGAAUUGGCGG
RNAcentral lists this ribosomal RNA (710 nucleotides) under uncultured archaeon. Its description in RNAcentral is "bacterial SSU rRNA". It matches the Rfam family "Archaeal small subunit ribosomal RNA", at positions 156 to 871 of the family's 1478-position model. The record is from RNAcentral.